RNAcentral lists this long non-coding RNA (1108 nucleotides) under Anser brachyrhynchus (Pink-footed goose). RNAcentral's name for it is "lncRNA (ENSABRG00000003512.1)". The record is from RNAcentral. Lineage: Eukaryota; Metazoa; Chordata; Aves; Anseriformes; Anatidae.
GUAUGACUGGGACCCUGCAGCCCCCUGGACGGCCCCAUGGCAGGGGCAGACAUGCCGAGGACCCCCCCGGCGGGCAGCCCCGAGCCACGCAGGCGUGGAGCUGGCGCUCCCCAGCGCCCCUCUGUCACCAGAGCCCUGUCCCCGAAGGCAUUUGGCACCUCGGCGCCCCGGGGCAGCACCUGCCGCCUGCCCGGGGCCGGCACCGGGCUGCCGGGAACGGCCGGGGAGGGGCCGGGCUGGGGACACGGGGGGACACCGGGGGCGGGGGUGGGGGCGCUCGGCAUCGCCCCCCCCGGCCCGCGGAGCGCCCGCGCCCCCCCCCCAGCCCCCCGCGGCGGCCCCGCCGCCCCCGACCCCCCCGCGCCGCCGCCCGCCCCGACGGCGCGGCCGGGCCCUCCCCCGCCGGGGCUGGGCCGGUGCCCGGGGGCGGGGCGAGGGGCGGCGGCGGGCGGCGGAGCCCCGGAGCCCCGCGGCUCGGCAGCCCCGGGCCGGGCCGGACUCACCUGCAGCGGGCGGCUCGGCGCGGCGCCGCCAGUACCAGACCAGGGCGAGCGACACGGCGUGCCCCGCCGCCACCAGCGACGGGAACAGCGACCCGGGGUCGUCCAUGCGGGCGCGGCUCCGCGGCACCGCCCGCCCUCCGGCACGGCUCGGCUCGGCUCCGCGGGGCUGCCGGGCCCGGCGGGGCUGGGAGGCGCCAGCGCCCGCCCCCCCGGGGCCGCUCCCGCUCCGCCUUAACCCCUCCCGGUGCGCGGCGCGGAGCCGCCUUCCCCCCCGCCGCACCGGCGGGAUCGGGCCCCGCGGGGGCGGCCCCGGGCCCGGCGCCAGCCCCUGCCCCCGGCCCGCGCCCCCCCACUCCCGCGCCGGCCUUUGGGACCGCGGGCGGCGCCGCCCCCCCCGGCCCGGCGCGGCCCGGCCCGGCCCGGCCCGGCGCGGCUCUCGCCUACCCGGCACGACCUUCAUGGGCAGCGCGGAGCGAGGCGCAGCGGCUCCGCCGGUCAGCCCGCGGGGGAGGGACGGAGGGAGGGAGGCAGCGGGCGGGCGCCGAUAUAAAUAACCGGGGCCCGUCACGGCGCCCGAGUUAGAACAUGACACGGCCGGGGGCGGG